GACGAACGCUGGCGGCGUGCUUAACACAUGCAAGUCGAACGGAAAGGCCCUGAUUUUGUGGGGUGCUCGAGUGGCGAACGGGUGAGUAACACGUGAGUAAACUGCCCUUGACUGUGGGAUAACUUCAGGAAACUGGGGCUAAUACAGGAUAGGAGCUCCUGCUGCAUGGUGGGGGUUGGAAAGUUUCGGCGGUUGGGGCUGGACUGGCGGGUUAUCAGCUUGUUUGUGGGGUAGUGGCUUACCAGGGCUAUGAAGGGUAGCCGGCCUGAGAGGGUGACCGGCGACAAUGGGACUGAGAGACGGCCCAGUCGCCUACGGGAGGCAGCAGUGGGGAGUAUGGCGCAAUAGGCGGACGUGUGAUGCAACAGCGUCGCGUGCGUGAUGCCGGCCUUCUGGUUGUAAACCGCUUUCGCCGGUGACGAGGCGUGAGUGACGGUAAUGGGUAAAGAAGCACCGGCUAACUACGUG
This 468-nucleotide ribosomal RNA is filed under the name uncultured bacterium. RNAcentral's name for it is "partial 16S ribosomal RNA". It matches the Rfam family "Bacterial small subunit ribosomal RNA", at positions 28 to 507 of the family's 1533-position model. The record is from RNAcentral.